RNAcentral lists this ribosomal RNA (460 nucleotides) under uncultured bacterium. RNAcentral describes it as "partial 16S ribosomal RNA". It matches the Rfam family "Bacterial small subunit ribosomal RNA", at positions 338 to 795 of the family's 1533-position model. The record is from RNAcentral.
CCUACGGGAGGCAGCAGUGAGGAAUAUUGGUCAAUGGACGCAAGUCUGAACCAGCCAUGCCGCGUGCAGGAAGACGGCUCUAUGAGUUGUAAACUGCUUUUGUACGAGGGUAAACGCAGAUACGCGUAUCUGUCUGAAAGUAUCGUACGAAUAAGGAUCGGCUAACUCCGUGCCAGCAGCCGCGGUAAUACGGAGGAUUCAAGCGUUAUCCGGAUUUAUUGGGUUUAAAGGGUGCGUAGGCGGUCGGAUAAGUUAGAGGUGAAAUCCCGAGGCUCAACUUCGGAAUUGCCUCUGAUACUGUUUGGCUAGAGAGUAGUUGCGGUAGGCGGAAUGUAUGGUGUAGCGGUGAAAUGCUUAGAGAUCAUACAGAACACCGAUUGCGAAGGCAGCUUACCAAGCUACGUCUGACGUUGAGGCACGAAAGCGUGGGGAGCAAACAGGAUUAGAUACCCUGGUAGUC